CAGGGAAUCUUGCGCAAUGGGCGAAAGCCUGACGCAGCAACACCGCGUGGGUGAUGAAGGCCUUCGGGUCGUAAAGCCCUUUUCUCAGGGAAGAAGCUCUGACGGUACCUGGGGAAUAAGCCACGGCUAAUUACGUGCCAGCAGCCGCGGUAAUACGUGAGUGGCAAGCGUUAUCCGGAUUUAUUGGGCGUAAAGGGCGUGUAGGCGGUCUUGCAAGUCUUUUGUGAAAUCUCCUGGCUUAACCAGGAGAGGCCAAAGGAAACUGCUGGACUUGAGGGCAGCAGAGGGAGGUGGAAUUCUCGGUGUAGCGGUGAAAUGCGCAGAUAUCGAGAGGAACACCAGUGGCGAAGGCGACCUCCUGGGCUGUUCCUGACGCUGAGGCGCGAAAGCGUGGGUAGCAAACAGG
Molecule: ribosomal RNA, 406 nt
Filed under: uncultured bacterium
Lineage: Bacteria
Description: bacterial SSU rRNA
Rfam family: Bacterial small subunit ribosomal RNA
Source: RNAcentral